Molecule: long non-coding RNA, 1182 nt
Filed under: Sarcophilus harrisii (Tasmanian devil)
Lineage: Eukaryota; Metazoa; Chordata; Mammalia; Dasyuromorphia; Dasyuridae
Description: lncRNA (ENSSHAG00000024601.1)
Source: RNAcentral
CAUCACAGUAAGGUAAAGGAUGUUGACUUAAAACAAAGGCCAGGCAAACAAUACCACAGGGUUAAAACCAGCUAGCAAGUAUUUGUACCAUCCAUUUCCCUAAAUUACCACCUACCAAACAUCCAGGGAGUUGAGGCUGGGAGUCAACUCUCUCUAUCCUCCCUGCCUCCAUCUCUAUCACAGCAGAAGGGGUCCAGUAAAGGUUCACUCACAAGAAGAUGCUAGGACCUUAGAGUAUAUGCAGCAAGUGAUAUUUACCUUUUCUUUGGGCUUCUCAGAACAGCAACCAGAAAGUACAGUGGAGAUUGAUGCUGCCUCUUCUCAUAUACAGUAGCAACAUAUUUUUGGAGCUGAAGACCUCUCACUCCGCUUCCACUUUUGCUGCCCCUAUUCUGCCAUGAGUUUAGCUGCAGCUGAAGGAAGCCUUCUUGAUUCUGCAUCCAUCUUUUCCUUGGCUCUAGUUUCUGAUCUUGUACCUGAAACUACUUCUGGUCUCUUUUACAAGACUCAUCCCACCUCCACUGAUGACCAAAGAUGCUUCUCUCCUAUCAGAAUUCACACGGUUUGGUUGACACCAUCAUGCCAACAGCUAAAUAUCCCAGGAUUUAUGGACAAAUUGAAAAGGAGAUGGAAACAUGUCCACUAAUGACAGAGGAGAUCUUUGCUGCCCCCAUUACACGGGACAAAUGGAUCAGAGGGUUACAAAACAAAGUGUUUUGUGAGGGGUCCAAAAUGUGGAAGAGGAACAAGAGAAUGAGGACACAGAAAAGGAGAAGGAGGCUAAAGAUGAAGAAGAGGAGGUGGAAGAAGAUAAAGAGGAGCAGGAAAAGGAGGAAAAGAAAAAGGAAGAGGAGGAGGAAGAGAGAGAAAGUAGAGCAAAAUGAGGAGGAAGAAGAGGAAAAGGAAGAAGAGGAAGAAGAGGGGGGAGAAGAAGAACAAGAUGAGGAAGAGGAGGAGGAAGAGGAAAAAGAGGAGGAAGGUGAAGAGGAGGAGGAAGAGGAAGAGGAGGAAGAGGAGGAAGCAGAAAAAGAGAAAGGGAGAAAUAUCCAGCAGAAAGAAGAGUCAGCUUUUUUUUUCCCAAAACUUAUCAGCAAGGAUGACUUAACCCAUCCAUCGAGUUGGAUAUCUACCCUACUUUAAAAAGUGCUUCAAUAAAAGGAAAUCUCACAAUAUAUACUGGUG